GGAGCCUGCGUUUAAUUCAUUCAUUUCACCACCCGCGCUCAGUCUCUUUCCCAGUGCAGUAGAUUGUAGAAUCCAGAGCGAAGGGGGAGGCGAGGAGGACUUACGAGCCAUCGAGCCAGGACGGGUUGAUGAACUCGGCGUCACUCUUGAAAGCGGGGAUCCACGACUUCUUGGCGGCGGCCGCGGCGACGACCACCACGCGGCGCGUCGCGGGCUUCGCGGCGGCGCCGAAGGAAGCGGCAUUGGCGAGCGCGCGCCGAGCCCCGAGGAACGGGUUCUUGAGCACGGCCGCGGAGGCGGUGGCGGAGGUGGAGGCGAGCGCCAUUAAUCAAAUCGUUGGUCCGAGCCCCUUGGGCGCGCGGCGGAGGCAGAGUGGCUGGUCGGAAGGAGGGUGCAAGGAUUGCAGGGAUGCAACGACGGUUUUGAUGUUAAAUCGUGGCGCUGCGGCGCGGGGCAGCCACAAGAUGCGGGCGAGGAAAUCUUGGUGCGGUAGGAUGGAUAGAGCGCUGGCCAAUGGGGAGCUGGCGCCAUCGGAUUCGGCUGCGCCGGUGGACGCCGCGUGGACAA
Molecule: long non-coding RNA, 567 nt
Filed under: Brachypodium distachyon (stiff brome)
Lineage: Eukaryota; Viridiplantae; Streptophyta; Magnoliopsida; Poales; Poaceae
Description: long non-coding RNA (BDIS_LNC005818)
Source: RNAcentral